GCUAAGUAAGAGGAAAGAAUUAUUAUUUUUUCCCUUACCCAAAGAGAAGUGUAACCUCAGAAUGCCCUGCAAGUUACACAGCCCUGGGGCUAAGGGCUGGGUCUUUGGUUUCCAGGUCCCCAGGGGUGAUUAACUGGAGUAAUUAAAAAUAAAUAUUUUGGCUACAUACAAUCUAUAUGGCCAUUUUGUCUGGGUUAUUUUUAUCUUUUCAUCCUUUGUUUCAGGUUUUGCUUUUCACCUUUGCUUAAAUAAAGAGCAGUCAAGCUGAAUGUGAAUGAAGUUUUAAGUGGAGUUCUGAUUUAUUGAACAUAUCUGGGAUACUCAGACCCUGGUUUUGUGCCAGGCACUCUGAGGUGUAAGGAUGAACUGUUGGAGAAUAUUGGCCAACGCUUUUGUAAUGAAGAAAAAGUAUUUGCAGUUUUUCAGUUUUGUGAACUGUCACUGGGAUGGAAGGAGAAAGGAGGAACCAAGGAUGAGCACUUCCAAACUGAACGUGCCAUUAUUCUGUGUUGGAGGAGUGCCCGAAUGAAGCUGAUGAGCCGAAGCAGCGAUGCAGACAUGCAUAGCCGUAGGCAGUUACUAAUGUUCAGCUGGUAUUUUGCAUCAGUGAAUAAAAAUGGACUGUGCCGAGUGAUAUAAUACUCAGUAACUUCCUUUUGAAAUUUGGUGUAUGCCACAGAAUGCAUAACAUCUCUCUAGUGUUUGUCUUGGGGUGACUUUUUGUUCAGCUGGUUGAACUGACCAUACUGUACAGCUCGCUUCUGUGAAAGCUCGCCUUAAGUUGCCGGGAUGGAGGAGAGAAAACGAGAGCUGACAGUGCCCCUCAUGAGGGGAGAGAUGGGGACAUACAGCAACAUUUCAGAUCUCUGCUUAUGGCUGUCGAUCGUGACAUAUAUUUGUAAUAUAAUUUAAAUAGAUGACAAGCAAAUGGCGUAUUGAA
Long non-coding RNA from Cygnus olor (mute swan), 940 nucleotides. RefSeq lists it as uncharacterized. The transcript has 2 exons. Lineage: Eukaryota; Metazoa; Chordata; Aves; Anseriformes; Anatidae. The record is from RefSeq and is a predicted model, not a curated record.